GUUGAGGGUAUGGUUAGGUGGAGUGAGUUUAGAGAGUCGGUCAAAGGAUACAAAUUUUGAGUUAUACAAGGAAUAAGUUCUGAUCUGUUGUAGAGUAUAGUGACUAUAGUCCACCACCACCACCACUACUAGAGGCAUAGACAGAGGUUUAUUUUGGAAAGUAGAGGCGUAUUCAAGAAACAGUGUGGGCCAUCUCCUCAGGAAGAAAUAGUAGCCAGUUGAUGGGUAUUAAUAUUUAUAGAGGGACAGUUGCAGUUGCUAGGGUCUGGACUAGAGUUAGAGUUGGGGUAGAAUUGCACAAUUUGGUGUCAGUUUUUCCAGCGCUUGCACAUUAACCUUAUAUUACUUUUUUGCAGGAAGGGGUCAAGAGUAUGGGUCGGGCUGCUCUGGAAUAUGUUUUGCAUUUCAAAGAUUUGUGGGCAUUUAUUGCAUUCCAGUGGCUCAUGGGCUACUCUUUUAAGGCUCAAAGUUUAUCUUUCUUUUUGUGUAUCCCCAAGUUUCCAUAUGAUUCUCCACUUCUACCGUGCAAACUUGGGACCCCUUAAGGGUUGAUGAGGGCCAUUCUCUAGAGAACCUUUGGGUAAAGCAAGGAAUAUACAUUCAAGGGAGAAUGUGGGCCACAUCUCAGAGAGAAACAGUCACGUGCUGCUUAUAUUUAUUAACAAUAUUGUAUUCUCAAGAAAUGCUAAGAGUACAUAUGUUCUCACUUCAAAAAUAACUACAUGAACCAGGCAGCCUGUAAUCCCAGCAGCCUGGGAGAUUGAGGCAGGACGAUUGCAAGUCCAAAGCCAACCUCAACAAUUUAGCAAUGUCCUAAACAACUUAGCAAGAUCUUGUCUUAAAAGAAUUUUAAAAAGGGUUGGGGAUGUAGCUCAGUGAUUGAGCGCCCCUGGAUUCAAUCCCUAGUACCAAAUAAAUAAAUAAAACAGAGGGCUAGGAAUGUAGUUCUGUAGAGGAGCACUUACCUAGCAUGUACGAGGCCCUCAGUUCACUCCCUAUCGCCACAAAAACAAACUGGUUUUGAAAUAAAAUCCAAUUUGUACAUUUCCUCAUAUUUUCGUAAGAAAAAUAG
RNAcentral lists this long non-coding RNA (1072 nucleotides) under Marmota monax (woodchuck). Lineage: Eukaryota; Metazoa; Chordata; Mammalia; Rodentia; Sciuridae. The record is from RNAcentral.